Molecule: transfer RNA, 73 nt
Filed under: Canis lupus familiaris (dog)
Lineage: Eukaryota; Metazoa; Chordata; Mammalia; Carnivora; Canidae
Also listed under: 1 other name
Rfam family: tRNA
About the family: Transfer RNA (tRNA) molecules are approximately 80 nucleotides in length. Their secondary structure includes four short double-helical elements and three loops (D, anti-codon, and T loops).
Source: Rfam by way of RNAcentral
ACCUGGCUGGCUCAGUUGGUAGAGCAUGUGACUCUUGAUCUCAUGAUUCUAAGUUCGAGCCUCGCGUUGGGUA